CGGCGGACGGGUGAGUAAUGUCUGGGAAACUGCCUGAUGGCGGGGGAUAACUAGUGGAAACGGUAGCUAAUACCGCAUAACGUCGCAAGACCAAAGUGGGGGACCUUCGGGCCUCACGCCAUCAGAUGUGCCCAGGUGGGAUUAGCUGGUAGGUGGGGUAACGGCUCACCUAGGCGACGAUCCCUAGCUGGUCUGAGAGGAUGACCAGCCACACUGGAACUGAGACACGGUCCAGACUCCUACGGGAGGCAGCAGUGGGGAAUAUUGCACAAUGGGCGCAAGCCUGAUGCAGCCAUGCCGCGUGUGUGAAGAAGGCCUUCGGGUUGUAAAGCACUUUCAGCGAGGAGGAAGGGUAAUGUGUUAAUAGGACAUUGCAAA
This 378-nucleotide ribosomal RNA is filed under the name Serratia symbiotica. RNAcentral's name for it is "bacterial SSU rRNA". It matches the Rfam family "Bacterial small subunit ribosomal RNA", at positions 96 to 476 of the family's 1533-position model. The record is from RNAcentral. Lineage: Bacteria; Pseudomonadati; Pseudomonadota; Gammaproteobacteria; Enterobacterales; Yersiniaceae.